Molecule: long non-coding RNA, 502 nt
Filed under: Triticum aestivum (bread wheat)
Lineage: Eukaryota; Viridiplantae; Streptophyta; Magnoliopsida; Poales; Poaceae
Description: long non-coding RNA (TAES_LNC024009)
Source: RNAcentral
UAAGUUUCGCUGCUUGCUUCAUUUUUGUAUGUUUUCUCUGCUUUCUCGCGAUGUGCUGGUCGUGUUGACGUGACUAUGUGUGGUUUGUUUUGUUUGGGUCGGCGGUAGCUGUGGUACUCUUUGUCUUUGGAUGCUCUUCAUCCGCUCCAUCUUAGGAAAAGGUGGUAUGAUUGUAUCAAGUGUGUUGUUCUAGGUGAUGAAUCUGUGUUAGAUUGUUGUGGGUCAGUUUGUCGUUCACAGUGUCUUCAAAAUAUGUCUUUUUUUUGGUAUGAAUUGUGUGCGCAGUUAACUGAUCUGUACUAUGAGUGUCCGAUCUGUGAUUUAAAUCACGCAUGUAACUGAUAUGUACUAUGAGUGUCAUUCUGUAUGCUUAUGAGUAUCAUUCCAUAUACUUGUACACUUCUUGCCCCCCUUGGGUGAGACAGCAAAAGAGAUCUAUACUGUGAGCAUCAUCCUAUAUACUUACGAGUAGCAUUCCAUAUACUUGUACACUUCAUGCCCC